Non-coding RNA from Ictidomys tridecemlineatus (thirteen-lined ground squirrel), 1224 nucleotides. Lineage: Eukaryota; Metazoa; Chordata; Mammalia; Rodentia; Sciuridae. The record is from RefSeq and is a predicted model, not a curated record.
CCAUAUGAGGGCCCCACCACCACCACCACCACAAAAGCUCAUGGAUGAGACGCUACAAGAAGGUUUAGAGGUGAAAUGGUGGGAUUACGAGAGCCUCAACCUGAUCCGUGAAUGAAUCCACUGAUACGGAGUCACUGGCUGGAGGAGAUUCAUUCGACUGUAAACUCCUACAAUAUGCCACCUGCAUGCCACCUGCCUAGUUGGCUAGCCAAGCCUCAGAAAGCAUGUGAAAAGAAGAAUUGCUCGAAUCAGGGUUUCUGUCGACCCCCCCUGCCAAGAUGCUGCCAAUCUGAUUGAAGAGAGAAGCUCUUUGAAUCAUCUCCAAGAUCCACUUGCCACAAAAUGGAUGUUUGUGGGGCGGAGGGGAACACUUCAUAUCCAAACCAGAUCCCUGAGGCCUCUACAAUUCAUUUGGAAGGAAAUGGAAAGAGAGCUGGCUGAGGAGAUCGAAGCUCGGUCAGACUUGAGUUCUCGAAGUUCGUGAGCUUGUGGGAUCUGGUUCAGUCUCCAACAUUGCUGCGCAGAUGGGGCAGAAAUAUUGCCUCCUGUAUGGAUGAAGAGAAUCGGACACGGAUUCAGGUCCCCAGAGACGCACAGGUGGUGAGCUGGGACGUUCCCCUCUGGUUUUUAGAUACCCCUGUGUGACAUGAUCAGAGCAGGUGACACUGGGAGAUGGAUACGGUGUUGCACCUUCUCGGGGACAGAAAGAGCAGGCUUCUCUACUUGACAGACAUUUCUGGGGUGCCUUGUAACGUCCCAGCAGUUUACAUCGCGUUCAAGCUGGGUGAGUCUUAACAGUACUGAAAAUGACCUAAUUAGGGGUAUGCCACAAUGUCAGUCAGGACUCUCUCUGAUUCUCCUCCUCUGCAACCCAUUUAUAAUACAGGGAGGGAAACCCGUCCUGAGCGGCUUGGUUUUGUGAUGGCACCUAUUUUACAUAAAGCUGCCCUGGUGUCAGACACUAAGCCCCUUGAAUAAAACUGCUCCCACUCCACCUGAUUCCUGGCUCCGUUUUUGAGUCAUCGCUACCCUGGGAUACAAACAUGGACCCUUUCGCCUGAGAAAAUUGGGAAGACUUCUUAAAAAUGCUUGUGUUCAAAGGUGGGGUUUUAUAGUUUUUCUGUCGAUGCUAAAAGUCUUCCCCAUCAGAUUUCCAGCCAGGCACACACCUGGAAUCCCAGCAACUAAGGAGGCUGUGGUAGGAGGAUCUCAAAUUUGAGGCCA